UAAUACGGAGGGUGCAAGCGUUAAUCGGAAUUACUGGGCGUAAAGCGCACGCAGGCGGUUUGUUAAGUCAGAUGUGAAAUCCCCGGGCUCAACCUGGGAACUGCAUUUGAAACUGGCAAGCUAGAGUCUCGUAGAGGGGGUAGAAUUCCAGGUGUAGCGGUGAAAUGCGUAGAGAUCUGGAGGAAUACCGGUGGCGAAGGCGGCCCCCUGGACGAAGACUGACGCUCAGGUGCGAAAGCGUGGGGAGCAAACAGGAUUAGAUACCCUGGUAGUCCACGCUGUAAACGAUAGUCGAUUUGGAGGUUGUGCCCUUGAGGCGUGGCUUCCGGAGCUAACGCGUUAAAUCGACCGCCUGGGGAGUACGGCCGCAAGGUUA
This 376-nucleotide ribosomal RNA is filed under the name uncultured Serratia sp. Its description in RNAcentral is "bacterial SSU rRNA". It matches the Rfam family "Bacterial small subunit ribosomal RNA", at positions 521 to 896 of the family's 1533-position model. The record is from RNAcentral. Lineage: Bacteria; Pseudomonadati; Pseudomonadota; Gammaproteobacteria; Enterobacterales; Yersiniaceae.